Molecule: ribosomal RNA, 279 nt
Filed under: uncultured bacterium
Lineage: Bacteria
Description: partial 16S ribosomal RNA
Rfam family: Bacterial small subunit ribosomal RNA
Source: RNAcentral
CUCGACCUACGGGACGCAGCAGUGAGGAGUAUUGGUCAAUGGGCGGGAGCCUGAACCAGCCAAGUCGCGUGAGGGAAGACGGUCCUAUGGAUUGUAAACCUCUUUUGCCGGGGAGCAAAAAGCGGUACGUGUACCGCAUCGAGAGUACCCGGAGAGAAAGCAUCGGCUAACUCCGUGCCAGCAGCCGCGGUAAUACGGAGGAUGCGAGCGUUAUCCGGAUUUAUUGGGUUUAAAGGGUGCGCAGGCGGCGAGUUAAGUCAGCGGUAAAAUUUCGGGGCU